AACCAAUGGUGAGGGCACUGUCUCAAUAAGUCAUUAUACCUCUCUCAUGCAUCAUAUAGGGUCUUUAAGUUGAUCUAAAUGAAGGAAGAUAUAUCAUUCCUUAACUU
This is a non-coding RNA of Gossypium hirsutum (cotton), 107 nucleotides long. The record is from Rfam. Lineage: Eukaryota; Viridiplantae; Streptophyta; Magnoliopsida; Malvales; Malvaceae.